UACGGGGGGGGCAAGCGUUGUUCGGAAUUACUGGGCGUAAAGGGCUCGUAGGCGGCCAACUAAGUCAGACGUGAAAUCCCUCGGCUUAACCGGGGAACUGCGUCUGAUACUGGAUGGCUAGAGGUUGGGAGAGGGAUGCGGAAUUCCAGGUGUAGCGGUGAAAUGCGUAGAUAUCAGGAGGAACACCGGUGGCGAAGGCGGAUCUCUGGGCCAUUACUGACGCUGAGGAGCGAAAGCGUGGGGAGCGAACAGG
RNAcentral lists this ribosomal RNA (253 nucleotides) under uncultured bacterium. Its description in RNAcentral is "partial 16S ribosomal RNA". It matches the Rfam family "Bacterial small subunit ribosomal RNA", at positions 524 to 776 of the family's 1533-position model. The record is from RNAcentral.